UACGGAGGGGGCUAGCGUUGUUCGGAAUUACUGGGCAUAAAGCGCACGUAGGCGGCUUUGUAAGUUAGAGGUGAAAGCCCGGAGCUCAACUCCGGAAUUGCCUUUAAGACUGCAUCGCCAGAAUCGUAGAGAGGUGAGUGGAAUUCCGAGUGUAGAGGUGAAAUUCGUAGAUAUCGGGAGGAACACCUGUGGCGAAAGCGGCUCACUGGACCACAACUGACGCUGAGGCGCGAAAGUGUGGGUAGCAAAC
RNAcentral lists this ribosomal RNA (250 nucleotides) under uncultured bacterium. RNAcentral describes it as "partial 16S ribosomal RNA". It matches the Rfam family "Bacterial small subunit ribosomal RNA", at positions 524 to 773 of the family's 1533-position model. The record is from RNAcentral.